Molecule: ribosomal RNA, 479 nt
Filed under: uncultured bacterium
Lineage: Bacteria
Description: bacterial SSU rRNA
Rfam family: Bacterial small subunit ribosomal RNA
Source: RNAcentral
CGAUUCUGGCUCAGGAUGAACGCUGGCGGCGUGCCUAACACAUGCAAGUCGAGCGAUUCUCUUCGGAGAAGAGCGGCGGACGGGUGAGUAACGCGUGGGUAACCUGCCCUAUACACACGGAUAACGUACCGAAAGGUACGCUAAUACGAGAUAAUAUGCUUUAGUCGCAUGGCUGAAGUAUCAAAGCUCCGGCGGUAUAGGAUGGACCCCGCGUCUGAUUAGCUAGUUGGUAAGGUAAUGGCUUACCAAGGCGACGAUCAGUAGCCGACCUGAGAGGGUGAUCGGCCACAUUGGAACUGAGACACGGUCCAAACUCCUACGGGAGGCAGCAGUGGGGAAUAUUGCACAAUGGGCGAAAGCCUGAUGCAAGCAACGCCGCGUGAGCGAUGAAGGCCUUCGGGUCGUAAAGCUCUGUCCUCAAGGAAGAUAAUGACGGUACUUGAGGAGGAAGCCCCGGCUAACUACGUGCCAGCCGCUGC